This 619-nucleotide ribosomal RNA is filed under the name Micrococcus luteus. RNAcentral's name for it is "bacterial LSU rRNA". It matches the Rfam family "Bacterial large subunit ribosomal RNA", at positions 362 to 982 of the family's 2925-position model. The record is from RNAcentral. Lineage: Bacteria; Bacillati; Actinomycetota; Actinomycetes; Micrococcales; Micrococcaceae.
GGGUGAUAGCCCCGUACACGAAAAAUCUCUUAGUCAAUGAAAUCGAGUAGGACGGGGCACGUGAAACCUUGUCUGAAYAUGGGGGGACCAUCCUCCAAGGCUAAAUACUACUGACUGACCGAUAGUGAACCAGUACCGUGAGGGAAAGGCGAAAAGAACCCCGGAGAGGGGAGUGAAAUAGAACCUGAAACCGUAUGCGUACAAGCAGUGGGAGCCCACUUUUGUUGGGUGACUGCGUACCUUUUGUAUAAUGGGUCAGCGACUUAUAUUCAGUGGCGAGCUUAACCGAAUAGGGGAGGCGUAGCGAAAGCGAGUCUUAAUAGGGGCGCUUUAGUCGCUGGGUAUAGACCCGAAACCGGGCGAUCUAUCCAUGGGCAGGUUGAAGGUUAGGUAACACUGACUGGAGGACCGAACCGACUACCGUUGAAAAAGUUAGCGGAUGACCUGUGGAUCGGAGUGAAAGGCUAAUCAAGCUCGGAGAUAGCUGGUUCUCCUCGAAAGCUAUUUAGGUAGCGCCUCGUGUAUCACUGCUGGGGGGUAGAGCACUGUUUCGGCUAGGGGGKCAUCCCGACUUACCAAACCGAUGCAAACUCCGAAUACCAGCAAGUGUCAGCACGGG